This 472-nucleotide ribosomal RNA is filed under the name Candida albicans. RNAcentral's name for it is "LSU rRNA". It matches the Rfam family "Eukaryotic large subunit ribosomal RNA", at positions 123 to 571 of the family's 3401-position model. Lineage: Eukaryota; Fungi; Ascomycota; Pichiomycetes; Serinales; Debaryomycetaceae. The record is from RNAcentral.
UGGCGUCUUUGGCGUCCGAGUUGUAAUUUGAAGAAGGUAUCUUUGGGCCCGGCUCUUGUCUAUGUUCCUUGGAACAGGACGUCACAGAGGGUGAGAAUCCCGUGCGAUGAGAUGACCCGGGUCUGUGUAAAGUUCCUUCGACGAGUCGAGUUGUUUGGGAAUGCAGCUCUAAGUGGGUGGUAAAUUCCAUCUAAAGCUAAAUAUUGGCGAGAGACCGAUAGCGAACAAGUACAGUGAUGGAAAGAUGAAAAGAACUUUGAAAAGAGAGUGAAAAAGUACGUGAAAUUGUUGAAAGGGAAGGGCUUGAGAUCAGACUUGGUAUUUUGCAUGCUGCUCUCUCGGGGGCGGCCGCUGCGGUUUACCGGGCCAGCAUCGGUUUGGAGCGGCAGGAUAAUGGCGGAGGAAUGUGGCACGGCUUCUGCUGUGUGUUAUAGCCUCUGACGAUGCUGCCAGCCUAGACCGAGGACUGCGG